GACGAACGCUGUCGGCGUGCUUAACACAUGCAAGUCGAACGGAAAGGCCCUGCUUUUGUGGGGUGCUCGAGUGGCGAACGGGUGAGUAACACGUGAGUAACCUGCCCUUGACUUUGGGAUAACUUCAGGAAACUGGGGCUAAUACCGGAUAGGAGCUCCUGCUGCAUGGUGGGGGUUGGAAAGUUUCGGCGGUUGGGGAUGGACUCGCGGCUUAUCAGCUUGUUGGUGGGGUAGUGGCUUACCAAGGCUUUGACGGGUAGCCGGCCUGAGAGGGUGACCGGCCACAUUGGGACUGAGAUACGGCCCAGACUCCUACGGGAGGCAGCAGUGGGGAAUAUUGCACAAUGGGCGGAAGCCUGAUGCAGCAACGCCGCGUGCGGGAUGACGGCCUUCGGGUUGUAAACCGCUUUCGCCUGUGACGAAGCGUGAGUGACGGUGAUGGGUAAAGAAGCACCGGCUAACUACGUGCCAGCAGCCGCGGUGAUACGUAGGGUGCGAGCGUUGUCCGGAUUUAUUGGGCGUAAAGGGCUCGUAGGUGGUUGAUCGCGUCGGAAGUGUAAUCUUGGGGCUUAACCCUGAGCGUGCUUUCGAUACGGGUUGACUUGAGGAAGGUAGGGGAGAAUGGAAUUCCUGGUGGAGCGGUGGAAUGCGCAGAUAUCAGGAGGAACACCAGUGGCGAAGGCGGUUCUCUGGGCCUUUCCUGACGCUGAGGAGCGAAAGCGUGGGGAGCGAACAGGCUUAGAUACCCUGGUAGUCCACGCUGUAAACGGUGGGUACUAGGUGUGGGGUCCAUUCCACGGGUUCCGUGCCGUAGCUAACGCUUUAAGUACCCCGCCUGGGGAGUACGGCCGCAAGGCUAAAACUCAAAGGAAUUGACGGGGCCCCGCACAAGCGGCGGAGCAUGCGGAUUAAUUCGAUGCAACGCGUAGAACCUUACCUGGGUUUGACAUGGAUCGGGAGUGCUCAGAGAUGGGUGUGCCUCUUUUGGGGUCGGUUCACAGGUGGUGCAUGCCUGUCGUCAGCUCGUGUCGUGAGAUGUUGGGUUAAGUCCCGCAACGAGCGCAACCCUUGUUCACUGUUGCCAGCACGUUAUGGUGGGGACUCAGUGGAGACCGCCGGGGUCAACUCGGAGGAAGGUGGGGAUGACGUCAAGUCCUCAUGCCCCUUAUGUCCAGGGCUUCACGCAUGCUACAAUGGCUGGUACAGAGAGUGGCGAGCCUGUGAGGGUGAGCGAAUCUCGGAAAGCCGGUCUCAGUUCGGAUUGGGGUCUGCAACUCGACCUCAUGAAGUCGGAGUCGCUAGUAAUCGCAGAUCAGCAACGCUGCGGUGAAUACGUUCCCGGG
Molecule: ribosomal RNA, 1343 nt
Filed under: uncultured bacterium
Lineage: Bacteria
Description: 16S ribosomal RNA
Rfam family: Bacterial small subunit ribosomal RNA
Source: RNAcentral